This 206-nucleotide ribosomal RNA is filed under the name uncultured bacterium. RNAcentral's name for it is "partial 16S ribosomal RNA". It matches the Rfam family "Bacterial small subunit ribosomal RNA", at positions 568 to 774 of the family's 1533-position model. The record is from RNAcentral.
CAUCUAGGCGGCCAACUAAGUCUGAUGUUAAAAUGCAGGGCUCAACCCCGUAUUGCGUUGGAAACUGGUUGGCUAGAGUACUGGAGAGGUGGGCGGAACUACAAGUGUAGAGGUGAAAUUCGUAGAUAUUUGUAGGAAUGCCGAUAGGGAAGCCAGCUCACUGGACAGAUACUGACGCUGAAGUGCGAAAGCGUGGGGAGCAAACA